GACCUUGCCUGGCCAACGGGGAAAGUUCGCUGGCCCGAUAAGGAUUGAGCCAUCCCGAGUGCCUGGCCAGCUGCGGGUUCCUGAGGUCUCUUCGGACAGUGAAGCAGGAGAAAUGCCCCCCACCACACUGGGCUUGGGGCUUUGUCGCUGCCUGUGUGCAGAGCUGCGGUCUUGAUGUAGAAUGCCUGGUGACAAAGAAGCGCUGUUCAAACUGGUGUGGAUACACCUGUCAGCUUCAGCAAACGUGUUCAAAGGUGUCCCAUUAAAGCCUAGACCUCGCCUUUCUCGAGGACUCCAGUGGACCCUUGAAGUAUCAUAGAAUCCAAAUGCAACAUGUCUGUGGAGCCUGUAUUUUAUAUCCCGCAGAAAAGGUGGAACUACAGGAUUCAGCCCAGGGAAGACGAAGCUACAGAAUGGCAGAUGGAAAGAUUGAUGAUGGAGGACAAUGUGCAGCUAGACGGCCUAAGACCAAACAGAUGGGACCAGUUCAGAGUAGCUGCAAUCAGUGUCCACAGCACACGUGGUUUUGCUGCUCCAAGCAAACAUUUCCACUCCUCUAGAGGACCGCUAACCCAUCACCUGUGGAGUAGGUGAAGAGAUAAAAGUUUUGGGUCAUCAUAAGAUGAAAUAUACAAGUGUCCCCUUCCUGGUGUCUAUUUUCUUCUCCUCCCACCUAGGGGACAUGGUGGGAACAGAUUCGAGGUCUGAUCCACUCAGUCUCACUGCAGAGGUAUCUAAUGAAUAGCCAACAUCCCAUGAAGUACUCCACUUAAGACUAGAAGCAGCAUCUCUUAUUAUUAUGAUUGUCAGUUGCAAGUGGAAGUGCAGUGGAAGAAAGGAAAAGAGAGCCACAAAGAGUCUAGCACGUACUUGUUAAAAUGGAAACCAAUAGUAUGUGCUGCCAAGUACAGCAGCAGAAGAAAAGGCAGCCGUUCAGUAGCUAAUCUGGAUUUACACCAGUGUAAAUCCAUUGAAGUGGAUCGGAAGUUUCACGCUGACUUCAGUGGGCUUUGGAUCAGGCUCUAAAUGGACUUGUGGACUGGGAGAAAAGAAGGGUAUUUUUUUAAACAUGUUAGCUACCAGAUUUUAACUAACACUCAUGUAGACAGGAUUUAAUGCCUUUAAAAACACGUUAACUGGUCAUGAUAGACACUAGGCUCUGCCUUAGAGUCAGCCACGACCAGCUAACAUGGUUUUAAAGGUGUUGAAUCCUGUUUCGGCUAGGUCAUAAGUGAUGUUUUAAAAGUGUUAUGUAAAAUGUGUUUUAAAAGAAGACCUUUUCCCGUAGUCUAGACAAGACUAAUGGGAGCUGAAUUGGUCCACUCUCUACUGAUCUGCCCACUUAGCAUUCCCUAGGAAGGCUCAGACCCUGCAAAUAGGGCUGGAUGAUUCGGGCGUACGCUGCCAGUUUGUUACAAUGCACAAGUGCCAGAAUAUAAAUCUAGCUAAACCAAAUAAUAAAAACAUGAAGGGGUUAGUGAGAGACACUGGGCAGAUACUGUUCUAAAGUGCAGUAAAAUACUUCUUGAACAGUGGUGAGUCUAGGUGCUAUUAUAGAGCGGCAGUGUGGCCUAGUAGGCAGGGGACUCAGCUAGGAGAUGGGAAUUCAAUCCCUUGCCCUGCCACAGAGCUGUUGUGUGACUCUGGGCAAGCCAUGUCACUUCUGUUUCCUCUCCCAUCCUUUGUCCAUUUAGAUUUUAAGUUAUUUAGGGCAGGAUAUAGUGUCUGUCACUGCCUGUGUGCAGCAUCUGGCACAAUGGGGGUUGGCCGCAGCCAAUGCUUCAAAGCACUACGGCAACCACUUACCAAACUGACGUUCAAGUGCUCUCAGCCACUGGUCAUGGGCAGCCACACUGGGAACCUUUCAAACACCAGAGGCUGAAGCUGCAGGCUAAUAAGGUUAGUUAGUCACCUGGGGCCUAACUCUGCAAACUCUGGUGCACAUGAAUAAUCCAAUGGGAUUACUCACAUUAGUGGAGUUACUUGCAUGAGUUCAAUGUUUGCAAGAUGGGGCCUCAUAGACAUGCAUUCAUUCUAAGGGCACUAAUCAUACAAAGUGGAUAGUUCUCUGAAAACAUCCACUCAAUGUGCAGAGGC
Mauremys reevesii (Reeves's turtle) is the source of this 2097-nucleotide long non-coding RNA. RefSeq lists it as uncharacterized. The transcript is spliced from 8 exons. The record is from RefSeq and is a predicted model, not a curated record. NCBI's taxonomy places the organism in Eukaryota, Metazoa, Chordata, Testudines, Geoemydidae.